AAUAUUGGACAAUGGGCGAAAGCCUGAUCCAGCCAUGCCGCGGGUGUGAAGAAGGUCUUCGGAUUGUAAAGCACUUUAAGUUGGGAGGAAGAGCAGUAAGCUAAUACCUUGCUGUUUUGAAGUUACAGACAGAAUAAGCACCGGCUACCUAUGGGCCAGCAGCAGCGGUAAUACAGAGGGUGCAAGCGUUAAUCGGAAUUACGGGGCGUAAAGCGGGCGUAGGUGGUUCGUUAAGUGGGAUGUGAAAGCCCCGGGCUCAACCUGGGAACUGCAUCCAAAACUGGCGAGCUAGAGUACGGUAGAGGGUGGUGGAAUUUCCUGUGUAGCGGUGAAAUGCGUAGAUAUAGGAAGGAACACCAGUGGCGAAGGCGACCACCUGGACUGAUACUGACACUGAGGUGCGAAAGCGUGGGGAGCAAACAGG
RNAcentral lists this ribosomal RNA (424 nucleotides) under uncultured bacterium. Its description in RNAcentral is "partial 16S ribosomal RNA". It matches the Rfam family "Bacterial small subunit ribosomal RNA", at positions 360 to 776 of the family's 1533-position model. The record is from RNAcentral.